RNAcentral lists this ribosomal RNA (2376 nucleotides) under Staphylococcus aureus. RNAcentral describes it as "23S ribosomal RNA". It matches the Rfam family "Bacterial large subunit ribosomal RNA", at positions 1 to 2373 of the family's 2925-position model. The record is from RNAcentral. Lineage: Bacteria; Bacillati; Bacillota; Bacilli; Caryophanales; Staphylococcaceae.
UAGAUUAAGUUAUUAAGGGCGCACGGUGGAUGCCUUGGCACUAGAAGCCGAUGAAGGACGUUACUAACGACGAUAUGCUUUGGGGAGCUGUAAGUAAGCUUUGAUCCAGAGAUUUCCGAAUGGGGAAACCCAGCAUGAGUUAUGUCAUGUUAUCGAUAUGUGAAUACAUAGCAUAUCAGAAGGCACACCCGGAGAACUGAAACAUCUUAGUACCCGGAGGAAGAGAAAGAAAAUUCGAUUCCCUUAGUAGCGGCGAGCGAAACGGGAAGAGCCCAAACCAACAAGCUUGCUUGUUGGGGUUGUAGGACACUCUAUACGGAGUUACAAAGGACGACAUUAGACGAAUCAUCUGGAAAGAUGAAUCAAAGAAGGUAAUAAUCCUGUAGUCGAAAAUGUUGUCUCUCUUGAGUGGAUCCUGAGUACGACGGAGCACGUGAAAUUCCGUCGGAAUCUGGGAGGACCAUCUCCUAAGGCUAAAUACUCUCUAGUGACCGAUAGUGAACCAGUACCGUGAGGGAAAGGUGAAAAGCACCCCGGAAGGGGAGUGAAAUAGAACCUGAAACCGUGUGCUUACAAGUAGUCAGAGCCCGUUAAUGGGUGAUGGCGUGCCUUUUGUAGAAUGAACCGGCGAGUUACGAUUUGAUGCAAGGUUAAGCAGUAAAUGUGGAGCCGUAGCGAAAGCGAGUCUGAAUAGGGCGUUUAGUAUUUGGUCGUAGACCCGAAACCAGGUGAUCUACCCUUGGUCAGGUUGAAGUUCAGGUAACACUGAAUGGAGGACCGAACCGACUUACGUUGAAAAGUGAGCGGAUGAACUGAGGGUAGCGGAGAAAUUCCAAUCGAACCUGGAGAUAGCUGGUUCUCUCCGAAAUAGCUUUAGGGCUAGCCUCAAGUGAUGAUUAUUGGAGGUAGAGCACUGUUUGGACGAGGGGCCCCUCUCGGGUUACCGAAUUCAGACAAACUCCGAAUGCCAAUUAAUUUAACUUGGGAGUCAGAACAUGGGUGAUAAGGUCCGUGUUCGAAAGGGAAACAGCCCAGACCACCAGCUAAGGUCCCAAAAUAUAUGUUAAGUGGAAAAGGAUGUGGCGUUGCCCAGACAACUAGGAUGUUGGCUUAGAAGCAGCCAUCAUUUAAAGAGUGCGUAAUAGCUCACUAGUCGAGUGACACUGCGCCGAAAAUGUACCGGGGCUAAACAUAUUACCGAAGCUGUGGAUUGUCCUUUGGACAAUGGUAGGAGAGCGUUCUAAGGGCGUUGAAGCAUGAUCGUAAGGACAUGUGGAGCGCUUAGAAGUGAGAAUGCCGGUGUGAGUAGCGAAAGACGGGUGAGAAUCCCGUCCACCGAUUGACUAAGGUUUCCAGAGGAAGGCUCGUCCGCUCUGGGUUAGUCGGGUCCUAAGCUGAGGCCGACAGGCGUAGGCGAUGGAUAACAGGUUGAUAUUCCUGUACCACCUAUAAUCGUUUUAAUCGAUGGGGGGACGCAGUAGGAUAGGCGAAGCGUGCGAUUGGAUUGCACGUCUAAGCAGUAAGGCUGAGUAUUAGGCAAAUCCGGUACUCGUUAAGGCUGAGCUGUGAUGGGGAGAAGACAUUGUGUCUUCGAGUCGUUGAUUUCACACUGCCGAGAAAAGCCUCUAGAUAGAAAAUAGGUGCCCGUACCGCAAACCGACACAGGUAGUCAAGAUGAGAAUUCUAAGGUGAGCGAGCGAACUCUCGUUAAGGAACUCGGCAAAAUGACCCCGUAACUUCGGGAGAAGGGGUGCUCUUUAGGGUUAACGCCCAGAAGAGCCGCAGUGAAUAGGCCCAAGCGACUGUUUAUCAAAAACACAGGUCUCUGCUAAACCGUAAGGUGAUGUAUAGGGGCUGACGCCUGCCCGGUGCUGGAAGGUUAAGAGGAGUGGUUAGCUUCUGCGAAGCUACGAAUCGAAGCCCCAGUAAACGGCGGCCGUAACUAUAACGGUCCUAAGGUAGCGAAAUUCCUUGUCGGGUAAGUUCCGACCCGCACGAAAGGCGUAACGAUUUGGGCACUGUCUCAACGAGAGACUCGGUGAAAUCAUAGUACCUGUGAAGAUGCAGGUUACCCGCGACAGGACGGAAAGACCCCGUGGAGCUUUACUGUAGCCUGAUAUUGAAAUUCGGCACAGCUUGUACAGGAUAGGUAGGAGCCUUUGAAACGUGAGCGCUAGCUUACGUGGAGGCGCUGGUGGGAUACUACCCUAGCUGUGUUGGCUUUCUAACCCGCACCACUUAUCGUGGUGGGAGACAGUGUCAGGCGGGCAGUUUGACUGGGGCGGUCGCCUCCUAAAAGGUAACGGAGGCGCUCAAAGGUUCCCUCAGAAUGGUUGGAAAUCAUUCAUAGAGUGUAAAGGCAUAAGGGAGCUUGAC